Molecule: ribosomal RNA, 253 nt
Filed under: uncultured bacterium
Lineage: Bacteria
Description: partial 16S ribosomal RNA
Rfam family: Bacterial small subunit ribosomal RNA
Source: RNAcentral
CACAGAGAUGGCAACCGUUGUUCGGAUUCACUGGGCUUAAAGAGCACGUAGGCGGAUCGGUAAGUUGGAUGUGAAAGGUCAUAGCUCACCUAUGAACACGCAUCUAAUACUGCCUGUCUCGAGACUGGAAGGGGAGAGUGGAACUCCUGGUGGAGCGGUGAAAUGUGUUGAUAUCAGGAGGAACGCCGGUGGCGAAAGCGACUCUCUGGUCCAGUUCUGACGCUGAGGUGCGAAAGCCAGGGGAGCAAACGGG